UGUCGCUGGUGCUGCUACCACCGCCGCCGUCACCGCCACCGCCGCUUCCACCGCUGUCCUCGUCAAGCACCUCAACUUCAACGCCGAGACUUUUACCUUAGAUAAACGCGUGCUGCUUUCGUACUCGUACGCGUGUAUAUGCAUCUCGACGUGUACGUAUCUUAACGGACUAGUGAUCCCAGAACGUGUUGCGUCCUAGCUAGCAAUACAAGUGGGUGUGGGUUUCGUUCGUAUGACUGGCGUGUAUGCAUGCGCGUGUGUCGCGUCUAUGUGCCGUGCCGUAUGUAAUUGCGCUCGCGCGCACUAUGGCCAUAUACGAUCGCUCGUUUGUGUGUACAUUCGUGUAAGGAUGGCGUAAGGGGAGAGGGUGCAUCGUCGAAGCGUUGGAGGGUUUGAGGCAGUAAAACUGGCUGGCCUACAAUGUCCGCUAGUAUGCGGAGCACUUUGCAAACUGUUCCAGAAUCAGUGCCGGCCGACCACGUCACAAACUCCAAAUUGACUGGUGUUUCUGCCGACAAACCGAACAACGCAAGCGUAUGAGAAGCACGUGAAUUUUUAUGCCGAGUGCGUCAA
Apis dorsata (giant honeybee) is the source of this 573-nucleotide long non-coding RNA. RefSeq lists it as uncharacterized. The record is from RefSeq and is a predicted model, not a curated record. Lineage: Eukaryota; Metazoa; Arthropoda; Insecta; Hymenoptera; Apidae. The transcript has 3 exons.